UAGAUAGGCUCCUCCACUGAACAUACAGAAACAAGAAGGGCAAAGAAGAUAAGCAAGAAGAAUGUUCUAGGAGAUUGAAAGACAACCUUCCUCCUAGAAGCCUCUUUCUUGUCUUGCUUGGCUGAAGAGUUUGUAGCCAUACAAGAAUCGGAGAAGCGAUGUCUGUGUGGUGGUAGCUUCAGGGGUUUGGUGGUAGCAGCAAAGACAAAUCUUAAUGGCGGUGGUGGGCAUGUCUUAGGAUUUGGAGCUAGUGGUAGUGGAUGUGCUGCUGCUGGUGGUGGUGGUGUAUGAGGGGUUCAAGUGUUUUGGAGGAGGUGGUGGUGGAGGGAAAUGGAAGGCAAUAACUCUAGCCGGAGGAGGAGGAAAAGAAGAGGAAAAAAAAGUUUAGAGCAAUCUUUUCUUCGUCUGCCCGUUUCACGCCACAUCAUCAUCCAUUAGACGUUCCCUGGUAGCAUGUGAUCAUUUCCU
RNAcentral lists this long non-coding RNA (468 nucleotides) under Phoenix dactylifera (date palm). Its description in RNAcentral is "long non-coding RNA (PDAC_LNC004091)". Lineage: Eukaryota; Viridiplantae; Streptophyta; Magnoliopsida; Arecales; Arecaceae. The record is from RNAcentral.